Selaginella moellendorffii is the source of this 850-nucleotide long non-coding RNA. RefSeq lists it as uncharacterized. The record is from RefSeq and is a predicted model, not a curated record. The transcript has 3 exons. NCBI's taxonomy places the organism in Eukaryota, Viridiplantae, Streptophyta, Lycopodiopsida, Selaginellales, Selaginellaceae.
UCUUUUACGACCAAAGUUGGUCACUAUCACACUCUCCAAAUCUCUCUUAACGCGCAAACGACGAUCAUUUUCUUCGUGGGGGCAUUUGUGAUCUUUGCGUGUGGGGAGUGUCCAAAUCCCCCCAGGCAGCAAGAGAGUAGCAACUCCUCUGUCCGGUCAGGCUGGAAAGCGCGCGUCCAGAAAUUGGAUUGCUUUCUUUCUUCUGCGCGCCGAGACCCCUCUCUCUCUCUCUCUCUCUCUCUCUCUUCUUCCCUCUUUUCUCUCUUGCAGCUUUUUGUUUCGUGGGCAUUCGCUGGCGCGCGCAGGACACAUUCUUGCCGGGCUGGGCCGAUCGAGCAAGCAAUUGGGUCACUGGAUUUGUCGUGCUGCUCUACUGGGUGGGAUUUGCGAGCCAGAGAGUAAAAAGGAUUGGUUUCUCAUGCCUAGGGGGAGAUGAUCAUAUCUGAUCAACCAAAGUCAAGGAUAAGUGGACAGCGACUGGCCAGGAUGAGAGAAGAGCCGAGAGGAGAAAAGAGAGACCUUUCUCCAUCUUUCUUUCCCCUUUGUGUGGUAGUGGCUUAGCUCCUCUAGCUAGCGCUGGAUAAUUCCAAUCCAGAUAGAUGGUUGGAAUUGGAUCUGAGGAGCUCUUGAUCUUGUCGCUCGCCAAGAGAUGAGGAGCGCUACUGGUGAAUGGAGAUCCGCGAGGUUCCAGAGGUGUCACCUCCAAACGGCGGUGCCAAGUCUUACAGCCAUCGUUCGCAUUCUUCGUCCUCUCGAGGUUCUAUCAAAGGCGCUGUUGGAGCGAGAAAGAUCAAAAACUCGGGUAGCGAGGAACAAAAGGCUCCGGAGCAGCAGCCCCGCAUCUCUCCGG